UGUAUGGGGAUCUGCCCGAUAGAGGGGGAUAACUACUGGAAACGGUGGCUAAUACCGCAUAAUGUCUACGGACCAAAGCAGGGGCUCUUCGGACCUUGCACUAUCGGAUGAACCCAUAUGGGAUUAGCUAGUAGGUGGGGUGAAGGCUCACCUAGGCGACGAUCUCUAGCUGGUCUGAGAGGAUGAUCAGCCACACUGGGACUGAGACACGGCCCAG
This 217-nucleotide ribosomal RNA is filed under the name uncultured bacterium. RNAcentral describes it as "partial 16S ribosomal RNA". It matches the Rfam family "Bacterial small subunit ribosomal RNA", at positions 114 to 334 of the family's 1533-position model. The record is from RNAcentral.